GAUGAACGCUGGCGGCGUGCCUAAUACAUGCAAGUCGAGCGAACAGACGAGGAGCUUUCUCCUCUGACGUUAGCGGCGGACGGGUGAGUAACACGUGGAUAACCUACCUAUAAGACUGGGAUAACUUCGGGAAACCGGAGCUAAUACCGGAUAAUAUAUUGAACCGCAUGGUUCAAUAGUGAAAGACGGUUUUGCUGUCACUUAUAGAUGGAUCCGCGCCGGAUUAGCUAGUUGGUAAGGUAACGGCUUACCAAGGCAACGAUGCGUAGCCGACCUGAGAGGGUGAUCAGCCACACUGGAACUGAGACACGGUCCAGACUCCUACGGGAGGCAGCAGUAGGGAAUCUUCCACAAUGGGCGAAAGCCUGACGGAGCAACGCCGCGUGAGUGAUGAAGGUCUUCGGAUCGUAAAGCUCUGUUAUUAGGGAAGAACAAAUGUGUAAUAAACUAUGCACGUCUUGACGGUACCUAAUCAGAAAGCCACGGCUAACUACGUG
This 497-nucleotide ribosomal RNA is filed under the name uncultured bacterium. RNAcentral describes it as "partial 16S ribosomal RNA". It matches the Rfam family "Bacterial small subunit ribosomal RNA", at positions 28 to 507 of the family's 1533-position model. The record is from RNAcentral.